UUGCGACUUCAUGGUUGUGCUGACGAGGGUUCGGGAAGACUUCGCGAGGCAGGUGGGCCGGACUGGCGAAUGUGGCGGCGUAGAGUGCAAGGGUAUAUCUUUAGCGACUUCGUCAGGAGAGUAACACAGACGCAGAGUUCUCUUCGAUUCUUGCAGCAGUUAAUACAUUUAAUACCACCAUGCAAUCAACAUCAACAACACUGAACGUGAUUACCACCGCAUUUCAAGGCCAUAAACAUAUUCAGUUGAGUGGCAGAAGGUGAAGGAUGAUGGAUAUAAUACACGCCAGGAUUAUGUUUUAAAUAUCAGAUGUCUUCACCGUAUCGCUAAUAGUGAGAUGAUACAUGCUGGUCGCCAUGGUUACCCAGAUGUCCUCUUCAGCUGGAUUGUUUGCAAAUGAAGGGGAGAGUUUCAUAGACAUAAAGGUGUCUCAUAUAUAUGCAUACUCUGCUUCUGCUUCACUUCUAUAAUCAUAAAAAACAUAUGACAUUUAUUUCCUUCAUAACUAAAACUAUGUCGUUGGAAAUGUUUGUGACAAAGAGUAACACAACCGGGAAAGAAAUCACAGAGUAGGGAUCAAGUAACAAGAUGAGACCUUUCUUCGGACCAGCCUUUGGGACCGUCGCAUUAGCUCGACGUUUCAACGUGCUUGGUUUAUAUGCCUCAGAGCGUCGCAAACGACUUCCACCGGAUGAAUUACCUCUCGGAUGCUGGCCUCCCUCAAGGCGAUUCACUAAGGAAGGUGACCAAAUGGUCUCUAGAGUCGGGGAUCCAACCCCUGCCAUCACAUGCCCUCGCCUUUGGCUCUACUGUCCGCAGUGUGUCAGAGCAUUGUUUUAUUUUAAAAAGUAAAACUAUUUUGUGCUUGCAGCUAACUUUUAAAGAAUAUAAUGUGAAUGUCUGUACACAUCCACAUGACGUAAGAUAACUAAGAGAAUUCCGGAUUAUCUAACUCGGCAAAAAUGUGUACUUUCCCAAGGAAACUUGUCAAAAGAUCAGUUGAGCACGUCAGUCUCAUCAUUAAAUUUUCAUUUUCCUCUCUCUUUUUUGUGAUACAUGCGUGUGAAUGAUUUUCCUAGCAUAGAAAGCUCCUUAUUUUUGGCUUCUUGUGCCUCUUCGGAUAAUCAGUCAACUGAUAACUGAAGUUGAUCCAUUUUGAUAUAUGCUCUGUUUCAGAAUCUGCCAGCAUCACUCUCAAGAUCAGAUGACAAUGUUGAUGAAAUCCAUAAAAUUAGUUAAAGCUUCCGAAUAAAGGAAUGAUGGACCAUUAAUUUCAGACGUAACUGCUGAUUUUUUGGAAGACCUGCGAGUAGUAUCACCAUCAUCAGGUGUGCCAAAUCCAUCUGGUUAUGGGUGAAACCGUCAUCACGAAACCUUUACUGUGUCAAUGACUUUCUCUGGUUAACAGCUUCCUUUUCUUCAGAAGGGCAUGCUUGUCAUUUCUGUUUAUCAAUUUUGUAAGAUAUGUAUAGGCAACCUGGUCAAUGCGUGGAGGGUUUAAUACACGCAUCGAAUUCGUAUCUAAUGCUAGUGCUGUGGCAACUUUAAAAUCAGUCAUGAUCCAACUCAUGUGGUAAAUAAGCAAAUCACGUUUUUUCAGUAGCCCGUAAGUUUGAAAUACCACAAUCUAAGUUUUAAUUUUCUUCAUGUAUUUUUCUUGGUUUAUUUUGAAUCUAACUGGAAAACAAAACUAUGUUUCAAUAUUUUUGAGUGGUUUUCUUUAUAUAUGCCUAGUCCAGAGUGUUCCCCUAAGGUUUACAGUCUAGAGGUAACUUAUCAACUUUCACCAUUUUCAUCAGUGAUUUUUUAAUUCUUCCUCUAUGAUAAAUAACAACCUGGAAGACUGCUUUUACGUCAUGGUCUGAAACUUUCCACUCAAAGCAGGUUUUGUUAAGCACGCUUCUCUCUCGCUUCCCGGGUUCUGUUACAGAGUGGUUAAAGUCAAAAAUAAUUUAUAGCAAUGCCCCCUUUAGAGUGUUAGAAUUGUAAUUAACAAAAAGGUAUUUGUCACAAUGGAUUUUAAAGAUGUUUUGCUAAAAGUCUGUGUCUGGUAGUUUUCAGAAGCUUAGGUGUAUCGUAACACGUUUUUAGUCAUUCUCAUUCAGACUUUUUUUUACAUUAUUUAAACCAAUUAGAUUAUUGCUCUAUAAAAUUAAUCUUAUUCCUUUUUACAGUUGCCCAUUUAGAGUGAAAUGUUAGUAUAUGUUAGGUUUUGUGUACUCAGAAACAUCACUAUCGUGUAUUAUAUAUUGAAAACAUUAUCAUUAAAAACUAUUUUGUAAUUCGGAUCAUUGAAUACUUUCCUUCUUUUCUGACAGAAUUAUCAACUGUUCAGAAAAGUCAAGGUAAUUCUAACACUUAAAUCGAGUUUAUGAAUUUUGUAACAAUCUCGAAAAGUUAGUAGUCGCAAAUUAGGAAUUCCGUCAGAAAUUUACACAAAAUAUUCAUAAGUAAAUUUAUGCAAGCAAAUACGGUAAUUUUCCUUUUAUACAAGUUAUGAAAUAUGAGAA
Molecule: long non-coding RNA, 2510 nt
Filed under: Penaeus chinensis
Lineage: Eukaryota; Metazoa; Arthropoda; Malacostraca; Decapoda; Penaeidae
Description: uncharacterized LOC125039642, transcript variant X2
Source: RNAcentral